UCCGUAGGUGAACCUGCGGAGGGAUCAUUACCGAGUUUACAACUCCCAAACCCAAUGUGAACGUUACCAAACUGUUGCCUCGGCGGGAUCUCUGCCCCGGGUGCGUCGCAGCCCCGGACCAAGGCGCCCGCCGGAGGACCAACCAAAACUCUUUUUGUAUACCCCCUCGCGGGUUUUUUAUAAUCUGAGCCUUCUCGGCGCCUCUCGUAGGCGUUUCGAAAAUGAAUCAAAACUUUCAACAACGGAUCUCUUGGUUCUGGCAUCGAUGAAGAACGCAGCGAAAUGCGAUAAGUAAUGUGAAUUGCAGAAUUCAGUGAAUCAUCGAAUCUUUGAACGCACAUUGCGCCCGCCAGUAUUCUGGCGGGCAUGCCUGUCCGAGCGUCAUUUCAACCCUCGAACCCCUCCGGGGGGUCGGCGUUGGGGAUCGGCCCUGCCUUGGCGGUGGCCGUCUCCGAAAUACAGUGGCGGUCUCGCCGCAGCCUCUCCUGCGCAGUAGUUUGCACACUCGCAUCGGGAGCGCGGCGCGUCCACAGCCGUUAAACACCCAACUUCUGAAAUGUUGACCUCGGAUCAGGUAGGAAUACCCGCUGAACUUAAGCAUAUCAAUAAGCGGAGGAA
Molecule: ribosomal RNA, 618 nt
Filed under: Trichoderma harzianum
Lineage: Eukaryota; Fungi; Ascomycota; Sordariomycetes; Hypocreales; Hypocreaceae
Description: eukaryotic LSU rRNA
Rfam family: 5.8S ribosomal RNA (bases 231-384)
Source: RNAcentral